Molecule: ribosomal RNA, 305 nt
Filed under: uncultured bacterium
Lineage: Bacteria
Description: bacterial SSU rRNA
Rfam family: Bacterial small subunit ribosomal RNA
Source: RNAcentral
CCUACGGGGGGCAGCAGUGAGGAAUAUUGGUCAAUGGGCGGAAGCCUGAACCAGCCAAGUCGCGUGAGGGAAGAAGGCCCUGCGGGUCGCAGACCUCUUUGGACGGGGAGCAAGGCCGCCGACGUGUCGGCGGAAGGAGAGUACCCGUAGAACAAGCAUCGGCUAACUCCGUGCCAGCAGCCGCGGUAAUACGUAGGGGGCAAGCGUUAUCCGGAUUUACUGGGUGUAAAGGGAGCGUAGACGGCCAGACAAGUCAGAAGUGAAAGCCCAGGGCUCAACCCUGGGACUGCUUUUGAAACUGCCGG